This 791-nucleotide ribosomal RNA is filed under the name Wolbachia endosymbiont of Microlynchia galapagoensis. Its description in RNAcentral is "bacterial SSU rRNA". It matches the Rfam family "Bacterial small subunit ribosomal RNA", at positions 122 to 950 of the family's 1533-position model. Lineage: Bacteria; Pseudomonadati; Pseudomonadota; Alphaproteobacteria; Rickettsiales; Anaplasmataceae. The record is from RNAcentral.
GAAUCUACCUAGUAGUACGGAAUAAUUGUUGGAAACGGCAACUAAUACCGUAUACGCCCUACGGGGGAAAAAUUUAUUGCUAUUAGAUGAGCCUAUAUUAGAUUAGCUAGUUGGUGGAGUAAURGCUUACCAAGGCAAUGAUCUAUAGCUGAUCUGAGAGGAUGAUCAGCCACACUGGAACUGAGAUACGGUCCAGACUCCUACGGGAGGCAGCAGUGGGGAAUAUUGGACAAUGGGCGAAAGCCUGAUCCAGCYAUGYCGCAUGAGUGAAGAAGGCCUUUGGGUUGUAAAGCUCUUUYAGUGAGGAAGAUAAUGACGGUACUCACAGAAGAAGUCCUGGCUAACUCCGUGCCAGCAGCCGCGGUAAUACGGAGAGGGCUAGCGUUAUUCGGAAUUAUUGGGCGUAAAGRGCGCGUAGGCUGAUUAAUAAGUUAAAAGUGAAAUCCCGAGGCUYAACYUUGGAAUUGCUUUUAAAACURUUAAUCUAGAGAUUGAAAGAGGAUAGAGGAAUUCCUGAUGUAGAGGUAAAAUUCGUAAAUAUUAGGAGGAACACCAGUGGCGAAGGCGUCUAUCUGGUUCAAAUCUGACGCUGAGGCGCGAAGGCGUGGGGAGCAAACAGGAUUAGAUACCCUGGUAGUCCACGCUGUAAACGAUGAAUGUUAAAUAUGGGAAGUUUACUUUCUGUAUUACAGCUAACGSGUUAAGCAUUCCGCCUGGGGACUACGGUCGCAAGAUUAAAACUCAAAGGAAUUGACGGGGACCCGCACAAGCGGUGGAGCAUGUGGUUAAUC